GAUGAACGCUGACGGCGUGCCUAAUACAUGCAAGUCGAGCGAACGGACGAGAAGCUUGUUUCUUUGAUGGUAGCGGCGGACGGGCGAGUAACAAGUGGAUAACCUACUUAUAAUUCUGGGAUAAUUUCGGGAAACAGGAGCUAAUACCGCAUCAUAUUUUGAACGGCAUGGUUCAAAAGUGAAUGACGGUCUUGCUGUCUCUAUUAGCUGGAUCCGCGCUGCAUUAGUUAGUUGGUAAGGUAACGGCCUACCAAGGCGACGAUGCAUAGCCGACCUGAGAGGGUGAUCAGCCACACUGGAACUGAGACACGGUCCAGACUCCUACGGGAGGCAGCAGUGGGGAAUCUUGCACAAUGGGCGAAAGCCUGACGGAGCAACGCCGCGUGGGUGAUGAAGGUCUUCGGAUCGUAAAGCUCUGUUAUUAGGAAAGAAAAUAUGUGUAAGUAACUGUGCACGUCUUGACGGUACCUAAACAGAAAGCCACGGCUAACUUCGUG
This 497-nucleotide ribosomal RNA is filed under the name uncultured bacterium. Its description in RNAcentral is "partial 16S ribosomal RNA". It matches the Rfam family "Bacterial small subunit ribosomal RNA", at positions 28 to 507 of the family's 1533-position model. The record is from RNAcentral.